UAUACUAAUAACAUACAAAAGGGACUUAAAGACAUUUUUUUUUCACUAAAGACAAAGAAGGACAUGUCAUAAUGAUAAAAGGGUCUGUUCAUCAGAAAGAAAUAGAAAUACAGAUGCACUUAACAGAGCUUCAAAAUUUAUGAAACAAAAGCUGACAAAACUGAAGGAUUCAAUACCUCACAUUCAAUAUCAAUAUAACUGGGCAGAAGAUCAAUAAGGGAAGAGAAGACAUAAACAAUCAGACUACAAACCAAUCAGACCUAACAGGCUUCUAUACAACACUACAAACCAAUCAGACCCAACAGGCUUCUAUACAACACUACAAACCAACCUCUGACCCAACAGGCAUCUAUACAACACACACACCAACCUCUGACCCAACAGGCAUCUAUACAACACUACAAACCAACCUCUGACCCAACAGGCAUCUAUACAACACUAGAAACCAAUCAGACCCAACAGGCAUCCAUAUAACACUACAAACCAAUCAGACCCAACAGGCUUCUAUGCAACACUACAAACCAAUGAGACCCAACACACAUCUAUACAACUCUACAAACCAAUCAGACCCAACAGGCAUCUAUACAACACUACAAACCAACCUCUGACCCAACAGGUGUCUAUACAACACUACAAACCAAUCAGACCCAACAGGCAUCUAUACAACACUCCACCCAACAAGAGCAGGAUAGAUAUUCUUCAACACUCUGGGACAGAAAAUACGGUAUGCCAAUAAAAUAACUCUCAAUACAUAUAAAAGACGAGAAAUCAUACAAUCUAUGUUUUUUAGCCAUAAUGGAGUGAAAUAAGAAAUCAGUAACAGGCCAGGUAUGGUAGCUCAUGCUUGUAAUCCCAGCACUUUGGGAGGCAAAAGUGGCAGGAUCACUUGAGCCCAGGAGUUCCAACACAGCCUGGGCAACAUAGUCGGACCCUGUCUCUACAACAAAAUUUUUAAAAAUUUAGCCAGGCUUGGUGGCUCAUGCCUGUAGUCUCAGCUACUCAGGAGGCUGAGGUGGGAGGUCAAGGCUGCAGUGAGCUGCGAUCACUGCACUGCACUCCAGCCUGGGAGAUAAAGUGAGAUCUUGUCUCUCAAAAAUAAGAAAAGAAGUCAAUAACAGAAGGAAACCUGGGAAAUUCACAUAUAUGUGGAAAUUAAACAACAAACUCUUAAAUAACCAAGAGAUAAAAGAAGAAAUCACCAGAAAAAUCAGAAUAUACUUUUAGAUUUAAAAAAGGGAAAACACAAUAUAGCAGAACUUAAGGGAUGAAGUAAAUCAGUGCUGAGAUAAAAAUUUAUAGCUACAAAUGUCUAUAUGAAAAAGAUUUCAAAUCAGUAAGCUAAUUUUCCAUCUUAAGAAACAAGAAAAAGAAGAGAAAAUAAAACCCAAAGCAACCCAAAGGAAAUAAUAAAGAUUACAGUGGAAAUUAACAAAAUAAAGAAUGGAAAAUCAUAGGGGAUAAUAAACAAAACCAGAAGUUGUUUCUUUAAAUAGAUCAACAAAAUUGAUAAAUCUUUAGCUAGACUAAGGGGAGUAAAAGAGAGAAGAAUCAAAUUACUAAAACCAGAAAAUACUAUGAAUAGGCUGGGAGCAUUGGCUAACAUCCACAAUCCCAGCACUUUGAGAGGUCAAGGUGGGAGGGUCACUUGAGGCCAGGAGUUUGACAAAGAUCAGCCUGGACAACACAGCAAGAUCCUGUCUCCACAAAAAAAUUUUAAAGAAAAUUAGGGCUGGGUGUGGUGGCUCAUGCCUGUAAUCCCAGCACUUUGCUAGGCUAAGACAGGAAAAUUUCUUGAGGCCAGGAGUUUGAGACCAGCCUAGCCAACAUAGUGAGACCCCAUCUCUACCAAAAAUAAGCUUUUAAAAAAUUAGCCAGUCAUACUGCCAUGCCCCUGUAGUCUUAGCUACUCAGGAAGCUGAGAUGGGAAGAUUGCUUGAGUCUGGGAGGUCAAAGCUGUAGUGAGCCAUGAUUGUGCUACUGUACUCCAGCCUGGGUGACAGAGCAAGACUCUGUCUCAAACAAAACAAAACCAAAGACAGAAAAUUAGCUGAAUGUGGUGGUGCAUGCCUGUGGUCCUUCCUACUGGGGAGGCUGAGGUCAGUAGUGACGUGACUAAAGCUAAAGACAUCACAAAAAGACUACAGCCCAAUAUCCCUCAUGAAUACAGAUGCAAAAUCCUAGCAAACCAAAGCCAGCAGCAUAGAAAAAGGAUUAUACACCAUGAACAAGUAGAAUUUGCCCCAUGAAUGCAAGGUCGGUUCAAUAUAUGAGAAACAAUGUAAUAUACUGUAUCACUAUAAUAAAGGACAAGAAUCAUACUAUCAUCUCGACAGAUGGAGAAAAAGCAUCUGACAAAAUUCAAUACUUUAUGACAAAAACACUCAACAAACUAGGAGGAGAAGGUAACUUUUUCAACCUGAUAGAAGCAUCUACACAAAACUGCAUUGUUAGCAUCACAUUCAAUGGUGAGAGACCGAAAGCUUCCCGCUAAGAUCAAGAGUAAGACGAGGAUGUCUGUUCUCACCACAUCUAUUCAACAUUGUCCUGGAGGUACUAGCCAGAGCAAUUAGGUAAGAGAAAUAAAAGAAAUCCAGAUUAGAAAGAAAGCUGUUUGCAGAUGACAUGAUUUUGUGUAUGGAAAAUCUUAGGGAACAUACAACUAAUUAGAAUGAAUAAACAAGUUCAGCAAGGAAUGCUGGAUACAAGAUCAAUACACAAAAGUCAGUUGUACUUCCACAUAUUAGCAAUGAUCAGCCCCAAAGUGAAAUUUGGAAAACAAUUACAUUUGUGAUUGCUUUUGUAAAUGCAAUUUAUAAUCUUUUAAUAAUUUAUAAUUGCAUUUAUAGUCCUUUUGGUUAUAAAUCAAAAAUAAUAAAAUAUGAGUAAAUUUAAC
This 2893-nucleotide long non-coding RNA is filed under the name Homo sapiens (human). Its description in RNAcentral is "HSALNT0067964". Lineage: Eukaryota; Metazoa; Chordata; Mammalia; Primates; Hominidae. The record is from RNAcentral.